GGAAAUGUAGUUCUGGACACGCCCCACGUGCCAGGACAAGGGGCCGGCGAGUCGGCUUAGCUCCUGAGUGUUCGCGGUUAUCAGCUGGUCUCGCCCUGCGCAGGGUCCGGCAGAUUCCGUUCAGUGGUUUACGCCGAAGCGACUAGGGGUGCAACGUACUCGUUAAAAGGUCCGAAGUAGUGGCUCAGCUGGUCGUGUGCGAAACCUUGCGUUUGAUCUCAGCAUCACGUAAACCUGGCUGGUGGCACACACCUGUAAACCCAGCACUCAGGAAGGGGAGGAAGGAGGAGGAUCAGAAGUUCAAGGCCACCCUUACCUAUGUAGGGAUAAUUAUAACGCUCACGUGGUCAGCAGCUCUGGAGGUGGAGCCCUUGGCACAAGCCUGAAACUGCCAUCACGCUGUGAUGCUGUCAUCACUGGCCCCUGCGUCGUGGAGGAUCCCGUUUCAGUGGGGAAAUCCUGCCCUAGGCGCCAGCAAAGGCUAGGCUACCCUCAACUUUGCUAUGUGGCCAAGGAUGGCCUCGAACUCCCCAACCUCUUACUGAUGGCUGGUAUUGUGGGAGUGCACCACCAUGCUUGAUGUAUGUGGUCCUGCGGAACAAGCCCUGGGCUCUGUGCACGAAAGGUAAGCAUUCUGUCAACGGAGUUAUUCCUCAGUCGAGCCUUAGCAUUCUUUCUGUCCUGAGUAGAUGUGAGAUGUCUGGAAGACAUCUUGUGACCACGAGGCCAAGUCUGAGAGACUCACAAUAGUACUGAUGUAACCAAGCCCAGAGGAUAUGUGGUGAUGCCUGAAGACAUCCUUUAG
Non-coding RNA from Peromyscus maniculatus bairdii (prairie deer mouse), 805 nucleotides. The record is from RefSeq and is a predicted model, not a curated record. Lineage: Eukaryota; Metazoa; Chordata; Mammalia; Rodentia; Cricetidae.